GGGAGCGACUUGGCUUCGACAGGAGUAAGUCUGCUUAGAUGGCAUGUCGCUUUGGGCAAAGCGUAAAAAGCCCAAAUAAAAUUAAACGCAAACAACGUUAAAUUCGCUCCUGCUUACGCUAAAGCUGCGUAAGUUCAGUUGAGCCUGAAAUUUAAGUCAUACUAUCUAGCUUAAUUUUCGGUCAUUUUUGAUAGUGUAGCCUUGCGUUUGACAAGCGUUGGGGUGAAAUAAAGUCUUAGCCUUGCUUUUGAGUUUUGGAAGAUGAGCGAAGUAGGGUGAAGUAGUCAUCUUUGCUAAGCAUGUAGAGGUCUUUGUGGGAUUAUUUUUGGACAGGGGUUCGAUUCCCCUCGCUUCCACCA
RNAcentral lists this transfer-messenger RNA (359 nucleotides) under Campylobacter jejuni. It matches the Rfam family "transfer-messenger RNA". Rfam says of the family: Bacterial tmRNA, also known as 10Sa RNA or SsrA, is named for its dual tRNA and mRNA-like properties. Lineage: Bacteria; Pseudomonadati; Campylobacterota; Epsilonproteobacteria; Campylobacterales; Campylobacteraceae. The record is from RNAcentral.